CCGCCACCCUGAGGCGCGGGUGUCAUCCUAGUUGUGGCUGCAGUGUGCGUUUUCCAGCCUUCCGUUGGUACCAGAAAAUGGCAGUUGUCCGUCCUUCUCCAACCUUGCUUGUCGUUCCUGAGGUGAUCUGCGGAGAGAUCAUCUGCGGAGAGAUCCGGAGGUGAUCUCUCAGUUUUGCCCUCUCUGUCUGCACGGGGCAUGCUGCGUGGUCCGCACUGCAGCGGUUGUCAGCAACGCGGGAGGACUGGAUAAACCCCAGCAGACAAAGCUGUCGUUUGUGAAAUAGAACUCCACCUCUAACCUGUUUCUUUCAAGAUUGUGCUAGCAUAGAGAACCCUGCGUCACCUCUUCCCCUAAUCUGCAGCCGAUGUAUGUUCUUCAAAAACACCUCACAACUUUUUCACCGUACAUGAGGAGGCCGUGACCGGGAGCCUCGAGCCUGAGCAUUGCCUCCAAGCUGCUGUCCCUCCCCGGCUGUGCCCGUCUCUCCCUCGGGCCGUCCUCCCGCCGCCCAGGUGCUCCGAAGGCCACCCAUAAAUAGUCGCAGGCUGCAACUGCGUGUGCUGGAACUUGGGCAGAAAACACAUGUAGCAGUUACAUGACUGGGGAACCGAUCAAUCCGUGCCUGCAGCCUCUCUCUAAGUUUGCCAAAUAUCCUUGAGGUCUGUCUAACCAUCCCCUACAAAAUAAA
Molecule: long non-coding RNA, 691 nt
Organism: Phyllostomus hastatus (greater spear-nosed bat)
Lineage: Eukaryota; Metazoa; Chordata; Mammalia; Chiroptera; Phyllostomidae
Exons: 3
Source: RefSeq, a predicted model, not a curated record